GCAGUCGCCGCGGGAAUACAGAGGGUGCGAGCGUUAAUCGGAUUUACUGGGCGUAAAGCGUGCGUAGGCGGCUUUUUAAGUCGGAUGUGAAAUCCCUGAGCUUAACUUAGGAAUUGCAUUCGAUACUGGGAAGCUAGAGUAUGGGAGAGGAUGGUAGAAUUCCAGGUGUAGCGGUGAAAUGCGUAGAGAUCUGGAGGAAUACCGAUGGCGAAGGCAGCCAUCUGGCCUAAUACUGACGCUGAGGUACGAAAGCAUGGGGAGCAAACAGGAUUAGAUACCCGAGUAGUCCCUGUCUCUUAUAC
RNAcentral lists this ribosomal RNA (302 nucleotides) under uncultured bacterium. RNAcentral describes it as "partial 16S ribosomal RNA". It matches the Rfam family "Bacterial small subunit ribosomal RNA", at positions 508 to 807 of the family's 1533-position model. The record is from RNAcentral.